AGUGAACGCUGGCGGUAGGCCUAACACAUGCAAGUCGAACGGCAGCACAGUAAGAGCUUGCUCUUACGGGUGGCGAGUGGCGGACGGGUGAGGAAUACAUCGGAAUCUACUUUUUCGUGGGGGAUAACGUAGGGAAACUUACGCUAAUACCGCAUACGACCUACGGGUGAAAGCAGUGGAUCUUCGGACCUUGCGCGAUUGAAUGAGCCGAUGUUGGAUUAGCUAGUUGGCGGGGUAAAGGCCCACCAAGGCGACGAUCCGUAGCUGGUCUGAGAGGAUGAUCAGCCCCACUGGAACGGAGACACCGUCCAGACUCCUACGGGACGCAGCAGUGGGGAAUAUUGGACAAUGGGCGCAAGCCUGAUCCAGCCAUACCGCGUGGGUGAAGAAGGCCUUCGGGUUGUAAAGCCCUUUUGUUGGGAAAGAAAAGCAGCAGGUUAAUACCCCGCUGUUCUGACGGUACCCAAAGAAUAAGCACCGGCUAACUUCGUG
Molecule: ribosomal RNA, 492 nt
Filed under: uncultured bacterium
Lineage: Bacteria
Description: partial 16S ribosomal RNA
Rfam family: Bacterial small subunit ribosomal RNA
Source: RNAcentral